UCGUGGAAUGAUGUAUUAUUAUCGAGCCCUUAAAAUUCUCGCGUAUCUUGAUACUGCUUCUGAGAUGGAAAUGCAG
Non-coding RNA from Helianthus annuus (common sunflower), 76 nucleotides. Lineage: Eukaryota; Viridiplantae; Streptophyta; Magnoliopsida; Asterales; Asteraceae. The record is from Rfam.